Long non-coding RNA from Homo sapiens (human), 446 nucleotides. RefSeq lists it as uncharacterized. The record is from RefSeq and is a predicted model, not a curated record. The transcript has 3 exons. NCBI's taxonomy places the organism in Eukaryota, Metazoa, Chordata, Mammalia, Primates, Hominidae.
CCCACUGAGCCAUCCUGUGGCCCUGGGCACCUCCUAGCUAGGGAACCGUUCCAGAGCUGCACCAUCAGUGCCAGCAGGGGCCAAGGGUGUGGGCUCUCCCAGUGACAGGGUGUGGGUUCCAUACCUGAAGCAGCUUCCGGCGCCUAAUGACCUCAUUGCACAGAGGAGGAGUCCAUCAGGGACCACCCAAACUUCCCACUCGGAAAUGCAGGAUGCCGGAGCUGGGAGGUGGAGCCAGCGUUUCCCUGCCCAGGUUGACGACAUAAAAAGCCCAUUGUAACUCUUCAAGAGGCUGAUGUUUGGCUCGAGCGUACGAGCAAUGUCCUAGAUAUAGGCUUCUGAUCAGCCUGGGUCCUGGCGGGGAGAUGACACCGAGCAGAGCCACCAUUGAGCUGCACUGGAUAAUGUAGUAUGAGUGAGAAAUAAAUCCUUGCUGUUGAAAGCUA